This 253-nucleotide ribosomal RNA is filed under the name uncultured bacterium. RNAcentral describes it as "partial 16S ribosomal RNA". It matches the Rfam family "Bacterial small subunit ribosomal RNA", at positions 524 to 776 of the family's 1533-position model. The record is from RNAcentral.
UACGUAGGGUGCAAGCGUUGUCCGGAAUUAUUGGGCGUAAAGAGCUCGUAGGCGGCUUGUCACGUCGACUGUGAAAACCCGGGGCUCAACUCCGGGCCUGCAGUCGAUACGGGCUGGCUUGAGUGCGGUAGGGGAGACUGGAAUUCCUGGUGUAGCGGUGAAAUGCGCAGAUAUCAGGAGGAACACCGGUGGCGAAGGCGGGUCUCUGGACCGAUACUGACGCUGAGGAGCGAAAGCGUGGGGAGCGAACAGG